This is an RNA transcript of Populus trichocarpa (black cottonwood), 1047 nucleotides long. RefSeq lists it as uncharacterized. NCBI's taxonomy places the organism in Eukaryota, Viridiplantae, Streptophyta, Magnoliopsida, Malpighiales, Salicaceae. The record is from RefSeq and is a predicted model, not a curated record. The transcript is spliced from 6 exons.
UAAAUGCGCUGAUGCUAACGUUAUUGUUUUUUGCAAUUAAAAAGAAAAAAAAAAGUAAAGAAAAAAUCUGUCCGUCCAAUUUGGGGGUAAGGGUUUUCAAAACCUACAAAUUUUGAUCACAAAUUGUUCACAAUUUUCGCGCGAAAAGAUGGAUCCUGAAGGGCAUAGAGGGUCUUCAAAUCCAGCUGCAAUGCUUGCCAAUCUCUUAAACAAAAGAGCCAAGCUGCACGAGGAGCUUCGUGUUAUCGAAAGACAGGUUUAUGAUCUGGAGACAAGCUAUUUGCAAGAUCCAGGCCAGUGCGGCAAUGUAUUGAAAGGUUUCGAAGGGUUUCUAUCUUCAUCUAAGAACACUGCACUCUUAAAACGGUCUAGGAAGUUCCAGUCUGAAGAUAGGCUCUUCUCGUUGUCUUCAGUUACCUCACCAGCUGCUGAAGAACAAGCAGCUGGACGAGAUGGUGAGCCAUAUAAAGUUGCAAAACUUUGUUUUUCUGUUUUGUUUUAUCAAAUUCUUUCAAAUCUCUCUGUUUAUUGUAGAUGGGAGAUCAGAAUUUGGAGUAGGUCGAUCCAAGGGUGGAGGCAUAUACGCAAACGGACAGUGAGUACUUUGAUUUAGAUCAGUCUGAACCUCACGUUAUAACUAUAUUCGGAUGCCUUAUGCAUGAUUGAGAUGACCAAGGAAAGCCAAAGAAGGGAAGAGGUGCAUCGAGAGAUUCUAAAAGGAUCAGGCCUUCAGCUGAUCCAGAUUUUGAUUAUGAUGAUGAUGCAGAUUUGACCUUGUGAAAUUGGCUGCAUAAGAUGGUAUGCUAGUUGGCCGUUGCAUGUUCUAGGUCUUAGAGCAGAAAUCCCCGUGGUAUAUUCAUCACUUCUGUUGUGAGUUACCGUUCAAGCAAGCAAACCUACUUGUACUGUAAUGCAUUGUUACGUGGUGUAGAUCCUAGAGCUGAAUUCUUUGUGUAUAUUCUUCUUAUUCGUCUUGAGUUACGGUACGUUCAACUGUUCAAGCAAACAAACCCAUUACAUGAGUUAUUUAAUAACUGCUAUCUUGGC